RNAcentral lists this ribosomal RNA (595 nucleotides) under Debaryomyces sp. BEA-2010. Its description in RNAcentral is "eukaryotic LSU rRNA". The stretch from base 208 to 361 matches the Rfam family "5.8S ribosomal RNA". Lineage: Eukaryota; Fungi; Ascomycota; Pichiomycetes; Serinales; Debaryomycetaceae. The record is from RNAcentral.
AUCAUUACAGUAUUCUUUUUGCCAGCGCUUAAUUGCGCGGCGAAAAAACCUUACACACAGUGUUUUUUGUUAUUACAAGAACUUUUGCUUUGGUCUGGACUAGAAAUAGUUUGGGCCAGAGGUUUACUGAACUAAACUUCAAUAUUUAUAUUGAAUUGUUAUUUAUUUUAAUUGUCAAUUUGUUGAUUAAAUUCAAAAAAUCUUCAAAACUUUCAACAACGGAUCUCUUGGUUCUCGCAUCGAUGAAGAACGCAGCGAAAUGCGAUAAGUAAUAUGAAUUGCAGAUUUUCGUGAAUCAUCGAAUCUUUGAACGCACAUUGCGCCCUCUGGUAUUCCAGAGGGCAUGCCUGUUUGAGCGUCAUUUCUCUCUCAAACCUUCGGGUUUGGUAUUGAGUGAUACUCUUAGUCGAACUAGGCGUUUGCUUGAAAUGUAUUGGCAUGAGUGGUACUGGAUAGUGCUAUAUGACUUUCAAUGUAUUAGGUUUAUCCAACUCGUUGAAUAGUUUAAUGGUAUAUUUCUCGGUAUUCUAGGCUCGGCCUUACAAUAUAACAAACAAGUUUGACCUCAAAUCAGGUAGGACUACCCGCUGAACUU